AUCCUCAUGGGGUUGAGUUGAGGUAGGCCCCAUCCCUGCCUCCCUACCUCUGAUGACCAGGUCCUGCAGGGGGGCCCAGGCAUUGGGGAAGUCCCAUUGCUGGCCUGUCUUCUGGAGAGAGGUCGGGAUUCCAUACUGAGGCCGGCACGUGGGGGCCAGCAGACCAGACUCCCCAUGGCCCAGGCCUGGACCAAGGCCACACGGCUGAGCAGCGCCAGAACCGGAGCCCAAGCCCGGGCUGCAGGGCCACCAGCCUCCGCUCCACACGGGCCCAGGGUGCCCGUGUCCUCUCUCCUGACUCCAGGUGAAGCCAGAGGUCCUCAGCCACCCCGAGCAGUUCUCGCUGAUCUACUCAAGACACCCCUUCUUUGUGCCCGAUGGGCGCUUUGUGGAGUUCCACCAGUGGCAGAUGUCCGGGGACUGCAGGGGUAGCGAUGUGACCAGCUUUUUUGAAGAGGUUGAUUUCCCAGGCUCCCCUGUAGUGAGGGGUGACCGGGGACCCAGUUCUGACACACGCAAGUGAAAGCCACUGGAAGAGGCUCCUGGGAAAGCUCCUUCAGAGGAGAGAGACUCGGCCAGCUUUGCUUUUGGUCCUCUGCCCUUCGCCUUCCUUCCUGCCUUGAGCACAGAUGAAGUGCUUGGAUCUGCAGAAGCCACCUUGCAACCACAAGGCAAUGAACGCAAGGCUGAAAACCAGGGACUUAGAUGGCAGAGCAGAAAGAUGGAGAACCUGGGCUUGGGUUGUGCUGUGAGUCACACAGCCUUGUGUGCAUGUUUUAGUCACUCAAUUGUGUCCAGCUCUUUGAGACUCCAUGGGUUGCAGCCCGCCAGGCUCCUCUGUCCAUGGAAUUCUUCAGGCAAGAAUAGUGGAGUGUGUUGCCAUUUCCUACUCCAGGGGACCUUCCCCACCCAGGAAUCGAACCAGGGUCUCCCGCACAGCGGGCAGAUUCUGUACCGUCUGAGUCACUUGGGAAGCCUUCAUGGCCCUGGGCUCCCCUCAGAUGAGAAAAAAAAAAUGAUUAGUAGUUUAAGCUGCGGGUGUUCAGAUUUCUGUCCCUUCUGGCUGACUCCAGCUCUGGCAGGUCCUCUUGCAAGGCCUUCCGGUCAGUACUUUCUCCCUCACACCUAGCUCAGUGCCCUCCUGGCCUGUCAGGGUGGCAGUGCCGCCGCCUGCCUGGCCUAAUCUCAGUCCAGCUCUUUGUGGAGGGGCAGAUCAGUCCAAAUAGGACCAAUCCCAGCACACCGUCCGCACAGUCUUGGAACCGAACCCCAGACCCCCUGCGUCCUCAUCGGCACUCGUGUCCACAGCUCCUGGCCUCCCCACGGGCAGUGGAGCCAGGGUGGUGUGUGACUACGGAUGGAAAGUGGCGCUUGCAGCUCUGGGGGUGCCGGCGAUGUUCUGUUUCAUGACCCAUGACAAGGCGUUUGGUUUACGUGAUCUGUUCACUAUCGUUUGUGUUUUAUGGACGUUCCCACUUUGCAUCUUAAUUCACAGUAAAAUCAUUUGAAAAUUUCAGAGG
Long non-coding RNA from Bubalus bubalis (water buffalo), 1520 nucleotides. RefSeq lists it as uncharacterized. Lineage: Eukaryota; Metazoa; Chordata; Mammalia; Artiodactyla; Bovidae. The transcript has 3 exons. The record is from RefSeq and is a predicted model, not a curated record.